RNAcentral lists this ribosomal RNA (564 nucleotides) under Clavispora lusitaniae. RNAcentral's name for it is "eukaryotic LSU rRNA". It matches the Rfam family "Eukaryotic large subunit ribosomal RNA", at positions 38 to 667 of the family's 3401-position model. The record is from RNAcentral. Lineage: Eukaryota; Fungi; Ascomycota; Pichiomycetes; Serinales; Metschnikowiaceae.
GCAUAUCAAUAAGCGGAGGAAAAGAAACCAACAGGGAUUGCCCCAGUAACGGCGAGUGAAGCGGCAAAAGCUCAAAUUUGAAAUCCUGCGGGAAUUGUAAUUUGAAGGUUUCGUGGUCUGAGUCGGCCGCGCCCAAGUCCAUUGGAACAUGGCGCCUGGGAGGGUGAGAGCCCCGUAUGGCGCACGCCGACUCUUUGUACACCGCGGCUCCGACGAGUCGAGUUGUUUGGGAAUGCAGCUCUAAGUGGGUGGUAAAUUCCAUCUAAAGCUAAAUAUUGGCGAGAGACCGAUAGCGAACAAGUACAGUGAUGGAAAGAUGAAAAGCACUUUGAAAAGAGAGUGAAACAGCACGUGAAAUUGUUGAAAGGGAAGGGCUUGCAAGCAGACACGGUUUUACCGGGCCAGCGUCGAAAAGGGGGGAGGAACAAGAACUCGAGAAUGUGGCGCGCACCUUCGGGCGCGCGUGUUAUAGCUCGUGUUGACGCCUCCAUCCCUUUUCGAGGCCUGCGAUUCUAGGACGCUGGCGUAAUGGUUGCAAGCCGCCCGUCUUGAAACACACGGACC